Molecule: long non-coding RNA, 669 nt
Filed under: Mus spicilegus (steppe mouse)
Lineage: Eukaryota; Metazoa; Chordata; Mammalia; Rodentia; Muridae
Description: lncRNA (ENSMSIG00000013867.1)
Source: RNAcentral
CUCCACAGCUUGUUCUUGGGAGCUAGGCAAGAUGCAACUGUUCCAAUAGGCUCUAUAAAGAAUCUGGGAGGGGGCAGGGUGAUCUUUCCGUUCCCCAAACCAGGAAGAGCUUUGCUUCUCAGAACUGCUUGGCUGUUGUCUUGUGACUCCCUGAAUAUUUGAGGUUUCACAAGUGCAUCCAGGGAAAGCUCAAAAAGGAUUCACACCUACAAACAAAACAGAAGGGGCUUCACCGCUAAAGAAGCGCCCACCUCCAAUGCUAAGAAACACAGUGACCAAGGUCUCCUAGCAGGGAGAAAGAGCAUGAAACUGCCUUUGCUCCUUCCUGUGAGUCACCCUCUUUUACUGAGAAGGGACAGAAUGCUACGUGCUAAAGCUGCACAGACUUUGGUGUAGCUUCAGUUUUUCCACCUAUGAUAAGACAUGGUAUUCCAUGGGACUCUGAUAGCAGAUGCAGUAAACAGAUGUGUUCCAACACAGAAACUGGGUAUGGUGGCAUAUGCCUGUAAUUCAGAAGCCUAGCAUUCAGGAGGCUGGGGCAGGCAGGAGGAUCACGAGGUCAAGACUAGUCUGGGUUAUAUAGCAAGGCACAGUGGGGGUGGGGAGAGAGAGAGAGAGAGAGAGAGAGAGAGAGAGAGAGAGAGAGAGAGAGAGAGAGAAAUACCAGAA